ACGUGGUUCUUAUCCACUUGGAAAACGUGCCUGAUGUGACGCGGUUCUUAUCCAACUUUUCGUCUCGAUUUGUUGUCGAAAGUGUAUUUGAUACGUGGUUUAUUCUUUCGUGUAGGUAACGAUUUAACGGGUCGUUACAAAUGAGAUGCCCUAUUUAUAAUAACUAGGACCCUAGGGUUGGUUCGACCUAAACCUAUACAUCGGGAAAGAACCAACAAAGAAAACCCGACGGAGCUUAUAAAACGCUCGACACAAUAUUCGAUCAAAUAAAACAUAAAAUAAAAUAAGGAAAGAAAAAACGCUAGUCUAAUUUGGAAUAAAACAGUAGCUGGUUCAGGCCUUUCGUCGAGCAGCUGGCUUCCUACUUCGGCACGAAGUCAUGGUAGCGUUCUGGCUGCUUGAGUCCCUUCCUCGGCCUUAGCUCUCUCUUCUUCACCUUCUCCGUAGCCUCCUCCGUCUGUUUUCCCAGUUCCGCCGUCGUGUCAUCCGAUACAGUCGUCGGGCUAGGUUCUCCCGUCUUGCUAAUCGGCGAGUCCUCCGGGGUAGACUCCGCCGUCCCUUCCAUUGGAGAAUCACUAACAGGUGGGUCAGGAGGAUUCAUAACAUAUACCUUCAUCUCUUGGAAACAUUACACAACUCGAGUCGUUGGACCUGUCUUCAAACCGAUUGGAAGGGGAAAUUCCAACAGAGCUAACAAAGCUCAAAUUUCAUUCGGCGAUAAACCUGUCCAUGAAUAAUCUUUCAGGGAAGAUACCUCAAUCCAGUGGCCAGUUUCCCACAUUUGAAAAUACAUCAUAUGUUGGGAAUUCUGGACUAUGUGGAUUUCCUUUAUCACGGAAAUGCGAAGAGCCUUUGCCCUCAGCGAUGUUGGAAGAAGGUGAUCAAGAUUAUGGUAUUCUAGAGGGAUUCUGUUGGCAGGCGGUUGUUUCUGGUUAUGGAUGUGGAUUUGUAAUUGGUGGUAUUGUGGGUUGUCUGAUUUUUGGGUAUGGAAGGCCUAAAUGGUUGGUGGAAUGGAUCUACAAAUUUUACAGGAUAACGAUAAAGAUGAGAAGCCGUAGAGAAAAUGUGACACCACAAAGAAGAAGAAGAACAUAACAAGAUUUUACAAGAUAAAGAUGAGAAGCCGUAAAGGAAAUGUGGCACCACAAAGAAGAAGAAGAUAACAAGAAAAAUCAACGGGACUUCUAAUGGCGGACGGAGGGAGUAAUAUCUAUGGUCCAAGUCGGCUAGCGUGGAGCUAGACAAUUCUAGAUAAUUUCCUUCAUCAAUUAGUUAUCUCUUCAUCGCUAUAUGUAGCAUGAUCAAGUAUUUAUAACUGUUAAUCUUAUUGUAUAAUUGCAAAAUUCAGGUGCUGUGUCAAAGGAAUUUGGAAACACAACUUCUCUGGCAACGUUGGAUCAUCCAUACAAAAUUAAUUCAAUUA
This is a long non-coding RNA of Salvia splendens (bonfire salvia), 1423 nucleotides long. RefSeq lists it as uncharacterized. NCBI's taxonomy places the organism in Eukaryota, Viridiplantae, Streptophyta, Magnoliopsida, Lamiales, Lamiaceae. The record is from RefSeq and is a predicted model, not a curated record. The transcript has 3 exons.